Molecule: long non-coding RNA, 283 nt
Organism: Helianthus annuus (common sunflower)
Lineage: Eukaryota; Viridiplantae; Streptophyta; Magnoliopsida; Asterales; Asteraceae
Exons: 3
Source: RefSeq, a predicted model, not a curated record
GUGUAGAUUAUUGAUCCUCAUCACAAGAGGAUUACAAGUUUGACGCUUGACAAGCUAGGUGAAGGCUUGGAAAGGAAGCGGGUCAAACGAAGCAAAUAAGAAGGAAAAGCGUACUUCGGAUGCGAGCUCAAUGUCGAGAGUCCCGGAGGAAGAUCGAGCAUCGAGCAAGAACCGAACACACGUUAAACAAAGCUUCCGCAACGUUGUUUUGUCGUUAUUCUAAACGGCGAAUUAAAUCACAUUAUGUAUAUCACUUAAAUUGUAAAAUUUUUAACAACCCGUA